RNAcentral lists this ribosomal RNA (484 nucleotides) under uncultured bacterium. RNAcentral's name for it is "partial 16S ribosomal RNA". It matches the Rfam family "Bacterial small subunit ribosomal RNA", at positions 28 to 507 of the family's 1533-position model. The record is from RNAcentral.
GAUUAACGCUAGCGGCAGGCAUAAUACAUGCAAGUUGAACGGCAGCACAGGUAGCAAUACUGGGUGGCGAGUGGCGCACGGGUGCGUAACACGUAUGCAACCUACCCUAUACAGGCGAAUAACCUUUAGAAAUGAUGGCUAAUACGCCGUAGUAUUACAGAUGGGCAUCUAUUUGUAAUUAAAGAUUUAUUGGUAUAGGAUGGGCAUGCGUCCCAUUAGUUAGUUGGUAAGGUAACGGCUUACCAAGACGAGGAUGGGUAGGCGAUCUGAGAGGACUUACCCCCACGCGGGUACUGAGACACGGACCAGGCGCCUACGGGAGGCAGCAGUAAGGAAUAUUGGGCGAUGGCCGCGAGGCUGACCCAGCCAUGCCGCGUGAAGGAAGACGGCCCUAUGGGUUGUAAACUGCUUUUAUACGGGAAUAAUAGAGUGUACGCGUACAUUUAUGCAAGUAUCGUAUGAAUAAGCAUCGGCUAACUACGUG